RNAcentral lists this non-coding RNA (24 nucleotides) under Cricetulus griseus (Chinese hamster). The record is from RNAcentral. Lineage: Eukaryota; Metazoa; Chordata; Mammalia; Rodentia; Cricetidae.
AAAGACAACAUGGGAACUUGCUGC